Molecule: ribosomal RNA, 407 nt
Filed under: uncultured Actinotalea sp.
Lineage: Bacteria; Bacillati; Actinomycetota; Actinomycetes; Micrococcales; Cellulomonadaceae
Description: bacterial SSU rRNA
Rfam family: Bacterial small subunit ribosomal RNA
Source: RNAcentral
UGGGGAAUAUUGCACAAUGGGCGAAAGCCUGAUGCAGCGACGCCGCGUGAGGGAUGAAGGCCUUCGGGUUGUAAACCUCUUUCAGCAGGGAAGAAGCGCAAGUGACGGUACCUGCAGAAGAAGCGCCGGCUAACUACGUGCCAGCAGCCGCGGUAAUACGUAGGGCGCAAGCGUUGUCCGGAAUUAUUGGGCGUAAAGAGCUCGUAGGCGGUUUGUCGCGUCUGCUGUGAAAACCCGAGGCUCAACCUCGGGCCUGCAGUGGGUACGGGCAGACUAGAGUGCGGUAGGGGAGAUUGGAAUUCCUGGUGUAGCGGUGGAAUGCGCAGAUAUCAGGAGGAACACCGAUGGCGAAGGCAGAUCUCUGGGCCGUAACUGACGCUGAGGAGCGAAAGCAUGGGGAGCGAACA